UUUCUUCUCUAUUACACUAUAUCAUUUUAUGCUGGUAGUUUACCAUCUUGGUCAUUUCAUAUAUGCCGUUAUUUGUUAGCAUUUAUCUUACUGUGGAUUGAGGGUUCGGGCUAGAAUUUAAUUUGGUGGCUUCUGACCUGUAACUUCUCCUGUCAUGUUUAACUGUGAAAUGCUUUCAAACAAUUUGGCUUGUGAGCUAUAAAUUAAUCUCCUUUUUUCGUUCUGGGUCUGAUUACCGAGCCGGGAGGGAAAAUAAAGAAAGAAUCUCAGCACCGAUUAAACUCAUUUUUACUACUGCUUCCGUUGGUACAGCCAGAGAGGAACUCAAACAUUGUCUCCCGAUCUAUUAUUUCAAGAUGAAAUUGAACUGCUAGGACUAUUUGAAUGAUUACGUUCAUCAUUCAAAUGGUAAAAUUCCAUUGCAAAAUGCAGAGCCUAAUUCUAGAAUGCUCUACUUGAUAUUUUCCAAUAAAUGUUGUAUUUGAAAUUUUAGAUUUGAUUAAAAAUAAGGAGUUACCACCACCCUCUUGUUAGAGUUUAAAUGUGAGGUGUGAGAAAGUGGUAAAAAAUUGUGGAAUAAAACUGUUGUGUGGAUAAAUGGUGCAUGAGAUCUUGUGAGGUGCUUGCUUUAGCAGUGUUAUGCUGCAAAUUUAUUGUAUUUGAUAACUUGUAUCGUUGAAUCAGCAUGUUCAAGCUAAUGCUCAUUACGAGCGAAUGUUCACUUCUCUCGUUUAAUGUGGAAUUAGGGUUUAAAAAUAGAAUGAAAUAUCUUUAGUUUUUCUAAGUGGUAAUUUGGGCUUGGGUGCAGGUGAGUUUGAGCGAGUAGCAGGACACACAUCAAGAGUAAAAGUGCAUACAUAUGGCACACAGUUUGUUGUUACUGGAUUCAACUAUUUGUUUUUGUGCUACUGGUGCUGAAAUUUGCAUAUUUUGUUAUGUAUAAAGGUACAGGUGAUUUGGGCGAGCGACCCAGUUUCACAACGGAGGGGAGGAG
This 994-nucleotide unclassified non-coding RNA is filed under the name Primulina huaijiensis. Its description in RNAcentral is "partial 166FR". Lineage: Eukaryota; Viridiplantae; Streptophyta; Magnoliopsida; Lamiales; Gesneriaceae. The record is from RNAcentral.